Molecule: ribosomal RNA, 517 nt
Filed under: uncultured Archaeospora
Lineage: Eukaryota; Fungi; Glomeromycota; Glomeromycetes; Archaeosporales; Archaeosporaceae
Description: SSU rRNA
Rfam family: Eukaryotic small subunit ribosomal RNA
Source: RNAcentral
CCAAUAGCGUAUAUUAAAGUUGUUGCAGUUAAAAAGCUCGUAGUUGAAUUUUAGGCCUGACCGGACGGUCCGUCUCUGGCGAGUACUGUUCUGCUGUCGGGUCUAUCCUUCUGGUGAGCCGGUAUGCCCUUUAUUGGGUGUGUCGGGGAACCAGGACCAUUACCUUGAAAAAAUUAGAGUGUUUAAAGCGGGCUUUUGCUUGAAUAGAUUAGCAUGGAAUAAUAGAAUAGGACGUUGGUUCUAUUUUGUUGGUCUAGGACCACCGUAAUGAUUAAUAGGGAUAGUUGGGGGCAUUAGUAUUCAAUUGUCAGAGGUGAAAUUCUUGGAUUUAUUGAAGACUAACUACUGCGAAAGCAUUUGCCAAGGAUGUUUUCAUUAAUCAAGAACGAAAGUUAGGGGAUCGAAGACGAUCAGAUACCGUCGUAGUCUUAACCAUAAACGAUGCCGACUAGGAAUCGGGCGACGUUAUUUUCAUGACUCGCUCGGCGCCUUAUGGGAAACCAAAGUGUUUGGNUUC